UCCGGGGUUACCCGGCAGUCUCGCUAGAGAAGUAUAACUAGCGACAAGGGUUGCGCUCGUUGCGGGACUUAACCCAACACCUCACGGCACGAGCUGACGACGGCCGUGCAACACCUGUGCACGCUCCCCGAAGGGUCCCUCACCUUUCGGAUCAGUACCACGUGCAUGUCAAACCUGGGUAAGGUUCUUCGCGUAUCAUCGAAUUAAACCACACGCUCCGCUGCUUGUGCGGGCCCCCGUCAAUUCCUUUGAGUUUUAGCCUUGCGGCCGUAGUCCCCAGGCGGAGUACUUAUCGCGUUAGCUUCGGCACGGAGGGGGUCGAUACCCCCCACACCUAGUACUCAUCGUUUAGGGCGUGGACUAC
This 364-nucleotide unclassified non-coding RNA is filed under the name uncultured Chloroflexota bacterium. Its description in RNAcentral is "uncultured Chloroflexi bacterium contains 16S-23S intergenic spacer region". Lineage: Bacteria; Bacillati; Chloroflexota. The record is from RNAcentral.